GUGGCUGUGAAGGGUUCAAAAGGAGAGAGCUUCUUCUUCUUCAUCCACUCCUUGGACAGACAGAAGACACCUGCGUGACUGGCGGAGGAUCGACACUUUGAGCACAGAGAAAAUGAAAAAAAAAGAAAACGAGAAAGGUUGAGCAGUUGAGCCGUGAGGUUACAGGCUGGCAGACAUCAGAGGAUGGGGGUUGGCUGCGUACUCGGUGCAGCUGCAGGAGCGGAUACAGGUGCAGAAGAGAAAAGCGGGAGCGGACUGAAGACCAGAGAGGAGUUCUGGAUGUACAGUGCAGUCAUCCAUAAAGUAGAAAGCACUACUAAACUCCUCAUCACAGUGUAGUGUUUCCUACUUUAUGGAUGAGUGUACUGUUGGCUUCAGGGAGAUCCGAGGCCCGGCAUGGCGCCAUGCGCAGGAAGUCAGAAAAGAGGAAGUUGCUUUGUCUCGCGGGGCCACACGUUACCCAGAGUGUUGGAGCAAUCGGUUCACAUGGGCAGAGUGUGGCGCCGAGCAGAGUCAGCUCCUCUUUCUCCACUCUAUGAUCACCUGUUUGGAAAAAUGUGCGCAGUAAACUAUGUAUAAUCUGCAUGCUGUAAAAUAAUAAAGAUAAAGUGAAAGAAUA
Long non-coding RNA from Girardinichthys multiradiatus, 619 nucleotides. RefSeq lists it as uncharacterized. Lineage: Eukaryota; Metazoa; Chordata; Actinopteri; Cyprinodontiformes; Goodeidae. The record is from RefSeq and is a predicted model, not a curated record. The transcript has 2 exons.